UAAGCACUUGGUGUCGGUCGGCCUU
This 25-nucleotide non-coding RNA is filed under the name Mus musculus (house mouse). The record is from RNAcentral. Lineage: Eukaryota; Metazoa; Chordata; Mammalia; Rodentia; Muridae.